Molecule: long non-coding RNA, 1010 nt
Organism: Oncorhynchus keta (chum salmon)
Lineage: Eukaryota; Metazoa; Chordata; Actinopteri; Salmoniformes; Salmonidae
Exons: 3
Source: RefSeq, a predicted model, not a curated record
UACAGUUCAUAAUAAAUAAAUAUACAGUACCAGUCAAAAGUUUGGACACACCUUCUCAUUCAAGGGUUUUUCUUAACUUCUACUAUUUUCCACAUUGUGGAAUAAUAGUGAAGACAUUCAAGGCACACUUAACCAGCAUGGCUAUCACAGGAUUCUGCAGCGAUACUCCAUCCCAUCGGGUUUGCACUUAGUGGGACUAUCAAUUUUCUUUCAACAGGACAAUGACCCAACACACCUCCAGGCUGUGUAAGGGCUAUUUGACCAAGAAGGGGAGUAAUGGGGUGCUGCAUCAGAUGACCUGGCCUCCACAAUCACCCAACCUUAACCCAAUUGAGAUGGUUUGGGAAAAGUUGGACUGCAGAGUGAAGGAAAAGCAUCCAACAAGUGCUCAGCAUAUGUGAGAACUCUUUCAAAACUGUUGGAAAAGCAUUCAAGGAUUCCAGUUUUGAAGAGUCACAGACCAUCCAGGGGCACAGGCAUAGCUGCAGAAAGAAUUGGACAGGAAAUGUCUGCCCAAUUGCAAGAAGAGAGGCUGGCUGAGAUGAAGGCUAAAUUGCAAGAGCUGUUCUUUGAUGAAACGGGAGAGGAUCUGGAGCUGGCCAUUUCCUGUCUACCAGGAGUUUUCUUUGACAUGAAGGAGUACUGGAGAGCUACUGUAUCUCAGGGACUAAGGACAACCUUACUGGUGCACCUGCAAGAAUUGCAGCGAUACUCCUGCACCUUACAACACACAACAACUGCCAUUUCACCACUGCAAAAUUCCAUUUAUUUUUGACCAAGUAUGUUUACAUAACAAGAUAAUGCUUUCCACAGCUACACCGUAAUUUAUUCUUUAUUUCGAUCUCAAAUACUCCAUUUGUUUUUAUUGUGAAUUCUCCUUGGUCUUUGUGAUAUCAGUUCAGUACUUUUUCAUAAUGUUUCCUUUACACUGUGCUUCUGUCAUUUUGAGGAAGGUUACAUAGACCACCUUGUAUUCUUAUUUAUGUCCCUAAUAAAGCUAUUUGUCCUGA